Long non-coding RNA from Mytilus californianus (California mussel), 264 nucleotides. RefSeq lists it as uncharacterized. The transcript is spliced from 2 exons. The record is from RefSeq and is a predicted model, not a curated record. NCBI's taxonomy places the organism in Eukaryota, Metazoa, Mollusca, Bivalvia, Mytilida, Mytilidae.
GUUUCACAUUCAAUGUUUACUAUAUGUUUUCAUAAUCAUCCGGAACAAAUCGCACUGGACCGAUUUCUUACAUCACCGUACGUAUUGACUGCCUUUAAUUUCUGUGACACCGUCUGCUUCAAUAUUUCAACAACACAUGUAACAUGGACGACAUUUAAUUUUCUGAGGAAAUCGAGACAUAUCACUGUCAAUUUACCACAAACAAUCUACUGACUACUUGUAAACCUUUCUGGUGGAAUAUUAUAAUUACAAUUUUCGAAACAA